UGCCAAUCAGAGUUUCUCUGAUUUUCAAAUCAAAUAUCCAUUGUUGAAGAUGCUGAGCUUGCCAGAAGAGAAAAAAAAAAAAUAGUAUAUCUACGUCGCAGAAUCAUAAUUGGAGGAUAAUGGCCCGAAAGAGACAUCGCAAAGUUCAAUGUUUGCCAUUGAGACGAGGGAGGAGGCACUACUAUCAUAUCACUCCAAAAUGCGAUAUUAUGAAAUGCGAAUACGAAAUCUUAUCUGCCAGACACACACGAGUUUUCGGAUGCUAUUUGAAUCGGCAGCGUACAUACAUAUAUGCAUAGUACUUAUGUAUAUACAUAUAUAUUUUUGAUUCCGUUUCGGUUAGAUUCAUCAGAGGUAGAGCUACUACGUGGCUACCAACCUACCAUGGAUGUCCCCCAUACCAUCUUAUCUGGUGAAAGCCUCAUCAUCAUCCUCCUCCCGUUCAAGAUCAAGCUCGGCAUGGAAAGUUUUCAUAAGUUUUCCUUUCGAGUGCCUUGAAAAAAAAAAAAAAAUAUAUACAAAUUCUAAAGGUUACAACAACCAGUGGCCUGCUCAUGUUAAUUUCAUUCACAAAAGAAGCCCUCGACAAAAGCAUAAUAUCUCACACGGAUAUAUAUCUGUUAUCUCGAUCUGUUCGAUGUAAACAAGUUUUCUCGUUCAUAUGACUGAUUAUUGAUCAUGGGCUUUGUUUCUUUUUGGCUUUUUUUUUGGCUGUCUGGCUGCCUGGCUUAUGCAAUGCUCCACAGACAUUGGUCAUUACUUUUAAUGGCAUUCUCACGAAUACCCACGAUGAUAAAUUCGAUUUUUUUGGGUCAAGAAGUGAUGUCUGGCUAGAUACUUGGCCAUACUCCUCCCCAGUGUCAAGGAUUAGAAACUAAAGGGCCUUCUACAAAGUCUAAUUACUUGUCAAAAAACAGAAACUGCAUGCUUUUUGGUCUCAUGGCCUUAAUGAAGCGAUAACAACGCCGAAGACGCUCUAAUUCGCAGUUGAUAUUAACUAUUUGGUUAGUGUAUUAACGAGGCUGUGCCAGGCACAAAUAUUUGCCCGCCCGUUUGGCACUGAUCGUGCCAAGGAGGAGGAAGACACAUGCGACAUACGAGGCGUAUGAGUAAUAAAGUCAACCUGCCACCUUCUUUUCAUCAUAAGCAGCAACAAAAAUAAUAAAAUUGUUGUGUAAACGAUCGCGAAAACGAUAUCAACAACCCGGAGAUAUAUCAGCUAAAUUAUUAUCAAGUUUU
This 1239-nucleotide small RNA is filed under the name Drosophila ananassae. RNAcentral describes it as "GF26681". Lineage: Eukaryota; Metazoa; Arthropoda; Insecta; Diptera; Drosophilidae. The record is from RNAcentral.